Molecule: long non-coding RNA, 1072 nt
Organism: Ostrinia nubilalis (European corn borer)
Lineage: Eukaryota; Metazoa; Arthropoda; Insecta; Lepidoptera; Crambidae
Exons: 4
Source: RefSeq, a predicted model, not a curated record
CCAAAAAGUCAGUUGUGCGGGGCGCCCCCCGAAGAGUGGACGUGCCAAGGAGCUACACAGACGCAAAGCUCUAAAAAUGGGAAGCCGUGCUCGAAUGUUGGUGAAGCUUUGCGAGCAGCAUGAAUGUUCCGCAUCUAAUAGCAUUGGAGGGCAAUUGCCGCUUGAUUCAAAAACAUCUCCAAUUGAUAUAAGUACAAAUGAAUUACCUAAUGAAGAAAAACAGGAUACCAACUUUACCCAAAACAGUGAUAUGAAUUGGUGUAAUGAACCUAUGACUUCAACUGGAAACGUUGUUUCUUCUCAAAAUAACGGUAAUUUAUCACCCAGUCUUCUUGAAAGCCACAAAAACCUCAGUGAAGGCCAAGACUAUUCACCAAAUGAUAGUGGCGAUGAAUAUGUGCCACAAAAAUCUGCAAAGCGCCGCCACCGUGUUGUUUCGAGGUCUUCGAGCUCAUCAUCAUCUAGCUCAUCCAGUUCUUCCUCUAGUUCAUCCAGUACUUCUACUAGCGCAUCGUCAAUAUCGACUACUGACGAGUCUCCUGUGAAUUCUAAUUGUAUGCUUACAAGAGAAGUUUUAGCGCCACCUUUAGAAACAGUUGUUGCUAAAAAAGGUAAAAAAAGAGUUCGUAAUGAAUCGGCUUGGAUAAAAAAUGUGCGAAAGCAACAAAGAAAUUCAGGAAAGCAAUAUGUAUCUAGAAAUGGAAAAACGGUUGCCGAAAAAUCAAUUAAACCACCUUGUUCAGAAAAAUGUAGGCAAAAAUGUCGUGAUAAAAUAACUGAAGAACAAAGAGAGGAAAUAUUUAAAAACUAUUGGGGUUUGGGAACAUUGCAGAGACAACGUGAUUUUAUAAACUCGUGCUUAACAACACUGAAAGUUCCUUACCGUCGAGUGAAAGAAGGAAAUGCUAAAACAAGAAACCAAAACUGUGUUUUUCAUUUUACGGUGAAUGGAGAAAGCAAACGGACAUGCAAAAUUUUUUUUAUUAAUACAUUGGGCAUAUCAGAAAGAGUAUUGCGAACAGUAAUGCAAGGAAGACAAAAUUGUACGACAGGUAUGAUUCCGGAAGAAAAG